GGCUCUGUGGCGAAAUGGAUAGCGCAUUGGACUUCUAGGCUGUGAGCUAAGCCAUUCAAAGGUUGUGGGUUCGAGUCCCACCAGAGUUG
This 89-nucleotide transfer RNA is filed under the name Danio rerio (zebrafish). It matches the Rfam family "tRNA". Rfam says of the family: Transfer RNA (tRNA) molecules are approximately 80 nucleotides in length. Their secondary structure includes four short double-helical elements and three loops (D, anti-codon, and T loops). Further hydrogen bonds mediate the characteristic L-shaped molecular structure. tRNAs have two regions of fundamental functional importance: the anti-codon, which is responsible for specific mRNA codon recognition, and the 3' end, to which the tRNAs corresponding amino acid is attached (by aminoacyl-tRNA synthetases). tRNAs cope with the degeneracy of the genetic code in two manners: having more than one tRNA (with a specific anti-codon) for a particular amino acid; and 'wobble' base-pairing, i.e. permitting non-standard base-pairing at the 3rd anti-codon position. Lineage: Eukaryota; Metazoa; Chordata; Actinopteri; Cypriniformes; Danionidae. The record is from Rfam by way of RNAcentral.